RNAcentral lists this ribosomal RNA (579 nucleotides) under Bacillus pumilus. Its description in RNAcentral is "bacterial SSU rRNA". It matches the Rfam family "Bacterial small subunit ribosomal RNA", at positions 88 to 653 of the family's 1533-position model. Lineage: Bacteria; Bacillati; Bacillota; Bacilli; Caryophanales; Bacillaceae. The record is from RNAcentral.
GAUGUUAGCGGCGGACGGGUGAGUAACACGUGGGUAACCUGCCUGUAAGACUGGGAUAACUCCGGGAAACCGGAGCUAAUACCGGAUAGUUCCUUGAACCGCAUGGUUCAAGGAUGAAAGACGGUUUCGGCUGUCACUUACAGAUGGACCCGCGGCGCAUUAGCUAGUUGGUGGGGUAAUGGCUCACCAAGGCGACGAUGCGUAGCCGACCUGAGAGGGUGAUCGGCCACACUGGGACUGAGACACGGCCCAGACUCCUACGGGAGGCAGCAGUAGGGAAUCUUCCGCAAUGGACGAAAGUCUGACGGAGCAACGCCGCGUGAGUGAUGAAGGUUUUCGGAUCGUAAAGCUCUGUUGUUAGGGAAGAACAAGUGCGAGAGUAACUGCUCGCACCUUGACGGUACCUAACCAGAAAGCCACGGCUAACUACGUGCCAGCAGCCGCGGUAAUACGUAGGUGGCAAGCGUUGUCCGGAAUUAUUGGGCGUAAAGGGCUCGCAGGCGGUUUCUUAAGUCUGAUGUGAAAGCCCCCGGCUCAACCGGGGAGGGUCAUUGGAAACUGGGAAACUUGAGUGCAGAA